Molecule: microRNA precursor, 96 nt
Filed under: Loxodonta africana (African savanna elephant)
Lineage: Eukaryota; Metazoa; Chordata; Mammalia; Proboscidea; Elephantidae
Description: mir-544 microRNA precursor family
Rfam family: mir-544 microRNA precursor family
Source: Rfam by way of RNAcentral
CUCACUGGGGAUCUUGUUAAAAUGCAGAUUCUAAUUCAGUGGGUCUGGAGUGGAAUCUGAGAUCCUGCAUUUCUAACAAGUCUCAGGUGAUGCCAG